This 159-nucleotide unclassified non-coding RNA is filed under the name soil metagenome. Its description in RNAcentral is "partial internal transcribed spacer 1". The record is from RNAcentral.
CAGAGUUGCAAGACUCCCUAAACCAUUGUGAACCUACCUUCUACCGUUGCUUCGGCGGGCGGGCCCAGCGCCCCCCCGGCCCCCCGCGGGCGCCCGCCGGAGGAUACCCAAACUCUUGACAUUAGUGGCCUCUCUGAGUAUUCUUUACUGAAUAAGUCG